Molecule: transfer RNA, 69 nt
Filed under: Rattus norvegicus (Norway rat)
Lineage: Eukaryota; Metazoa; Chordata; Mammalia; Rodentia; Muridae
Rfam family: tRNA
About the family: Transfer RNA (tRNA) molecules are approximately 80 nucleotides in length. Their secondary structure includes four short double-helical elements and three loops (D, anti-codon, and T loops).
Source: Rfam by way of RNAcentral
GGGGAUUUGGCUCAGUGGUAGAGCGCUUGCCUAGCAAGUGCAAGGCCCUGGGUUCGGUUCCCAGCUCCG